UCCUUGGUGGUCCAGUGGCUAAGACUCUGCACUCCUGAUACAGGGGGGCUAGGUUCGAUCCCUGGUCAGGGAA
Dama dama (fallow deer) is the source of this 73-nucleotide non-coding RNA. The record is from the annotation of a RefSeq genome assembly. Lineage: Eukaryota; Metazoa; Chordata; Mammalia; Artiodactyla; Cervidae.